AGGCUCGAGUUUAUGUUUUGAUGAGCCUGUGUUGUUAAAUAUUUUGAACUCGUGAAUGAAAGAUAGAGACCCUUCAAGACAGAGCUUUGGAAGUAGUUCUCCAAAUUUACAGCAAAGAAUUAAUCCGGAGUGGUCCAAGACUUCAGAUCGAUUGCCAUGUGUUGCAAGUACACCCUGAGCCAGAAUUGGAAGUGGAAUAGAUCUAUACCCUCGAGAAGGCUACACAUCACCAUCAUCCAUGCGGCCUGGUCAGCGAAGAAAUUCAUGGAGCAGGUUUUCAUCAGGGGAUGAUGGCUGGUAUGGUGGGUUAGUUGUAUAGGAGAAAGUUGCUUGGAACUUGAAAGGCAUCCGCCCAUCUGCAUGCAGCUAUCUGAUGGUGAGAUGAGGUCUGAUGAUGUCACUGUUGAAUGGCCAUGCAAGUCGACUGACUUCCUCCAUGCACGAAAGGACCCAGUUUUACUAUGAGAAGGAGUAGGACGUGGAUUGUAGACUUCUGUCGACGAGUAUCCUGAACAUACCGUGGUAGAAAGUCGUCCCGAUGUCGUCCAUCAUGGUGUGGAGGUGAUCAAGAUCAAGUUGAUCUUCCGCUUGCCUGAGGAACCCUGGGGAGGAAGCGGUGAAGGGAGUGGGGGUACUGGCAUUUAAGGUGGACAACAACAUGCUCUUCGAGAAAAGCGUGACAAAGUAUUCGUGUUUCCUGUCCGAGCGAUGUAGGAGCGUAAAGUAAAAAGGGUAUUAAAAUUUCCAAACUCAAGAAGUAAUCUCCUACUCUGGAUACGUGAAAAUGGUAAUAUAAAGGCUAGGGAAACAUUGAACAUACUUGUUUAGGGUAUGAGUCUCUUUGAGAAGGUAUCUGACAUGAAGAAUGUUUACUUUAGGGUCAAUUUUGAAAGUCCAUGGACGAGCAUCCAUCCAUCCAUGCACCCAUUUAUUCAUUCAUCUAUCCAGCCGUCCAUAUUAUUAUGCUCGCUUACAUGCAUUCAUUCAUCCAUCUAUCCAUCCACCUAUUCAUUCAUGUAUGCUCGCAUACAUGCAUGAAUCCAUCCAUUCAUUCAUUCUUUCAUUCACUCAUUGAUUCAUUCAUUGAUUUGUGUAUGACCACUAUAUGUGUUCAUUUAUUUAGUCAUCCAUCCAUUAAUUCAUAUACAAAUGUCAACUGAUAAUUAUAUAUAUAUAUUGUAAUUUUGUUAUGUUGUCUGGUAUUGAUUACUUCCUCUCUAAGUAACGAUAUAUUUCUGAUAUCUGCUCUUGAUGAAUUAGUACAUUCUAUACCGACCGCACAGAAACGUUGUUAGUCUAACAGAACGUUAACAGUAAGCCCAAUAACAUCUUCCGGAUUGUGAAGUCAAAACACAUAUUCUGCCACAUUGCCUGUUGUAACAGGGCCUCUGUUAGCGCUGAGAACGUUUCUGUGCGGUCAGUACUGGUAAUUAUCACUUGACAAACUUUGAAGUCUUCAAAAAUAAGUUUUACAGUUUUAGAAUUUGACAAGUAAAAAUCAUAAUGUUCCGUUGAAUGCUUUUAAUUGCUCCCAUCUCCCCGAAGAAUGAAAUACGGUAGGGCUAUUUUUGUAAGUGCACUUGGUAAAUCCGAACCAUUAGUUGCUGUGUAAAUGAAAUAUGGCAACAUUUUUAAAGAUUUGUUAUUUUGCCUUGAUGAUUUAUUAAUAAAUGAUGGUGUUACAACUAUUGGCGGUGAUCCCGGGGGAAGGGAACAUGCCCCCUUCCCCUUUGAUUUUAAAUUUUGCACAGCAUUUUAUUGGAGAGGGUUGUCUCGUUCACCCCCCUCCCCCCAUGGACAAAAAAAUCCCAUAAAAUCACUGCCAAUGGUUAAGCUCCUUUUUUGCUACUUGUA
Lytechinus pictus (painted urchin) is the source of this 1854-nucleotide long non-coding RNA. RefSeq lists it as uncharacterized. The record is from RefSeq and is a predicted model, not a curated record. The transcript has 2 exons. NCBI's taxonomy places the organism in Eukaryota, Metazoa, Echinodermata, Echinoidea, Temnopleuroida, Toxopneustidae.